UUCGCCCUUAGAGUUUGAUCCUGGCUCAGGAUGAACGCUGGCGGCGUGCUUAACACAUGCAAGUCGAACGGACUCAUAUUGAAACCUAGUGAUUUAUGAGUUAGUGGCGGACGGGUGAGUAACGCGUGGAUAACCUGCCGUAUACCGGGGGAUAACACUUAGAAAUAGGUGCUAAUACCGCAUAAGCGCACGGUCCCGCAUGGGACAGUGUGAAAAACUCCGGUGGUGCAAGAUGGACCCGCGUCUGAUUAGCUGGUUGGCGGGGUAAAGGCCCACCAAGGCGACGAUCAGUAGCCGGACUGAGAGGUUGGCCGGCCACAUUGGGACUGAGACACGGCCCAGACUCCUACGGGAGGCAGCAGUGGGGAAUAUUGGGCAAUGGGCGCAAGCCUGACCCAGCAACGCCGCGUGAAGGAAGAAGGCCUUUCGGGUUGUAAACUUCUUUUCUCAGGGACGAAGAAAGUGACGGUACCUGAGGAAUAAGCCACGGCUAACUACGUGCCAGCAGCCGCGGUAAUACGUAGGUGGCAAGCGUUAUCCGGAUUUACUGGGUGUAAAGGGCGUGUAGGCGGGAAAGCAAGUCAGAUGUGAAAACCAUGGGCUCAACCUGUGGCCUGCAUUUGAAACUGUUUUUCUUGAGUACUGGAGAGGCAGACGGAAUUCCUCGUGUAGCGGUGAAAUGCGUAGAUAUGAGGAGGAACACCAGUGGCGAAGGCGGUCUGCUGGACAGCAACUGACGCUGAGGCGCGAAAGCGUGGGGAGCAAACAGGAUUAGAUACCCUGGUAGUCCACGCUGUAAACGAUGGAUACUAGGUGUGGGGGGACUGACCCCCUCCGUGCCGCAGUUAACACAAUAAGUAUCCCACCUGGGGAGUACGAUCGCAAGGUUGAAACUCAAAGGAAUUGACGGGGGCCCGCACAAGCGGUGGAGUAUGUGGUUUAAUUCGAAGCAACGCGAAGAACCUUACCAGGGCUUGACAUCCCGGUGACCGGCAUAGAGAUAUGCUUUUCUCUUCGGAGACACCGGUGACAGGUGGUGCAUGGUUGUCGUCAGCUCGUGUCGUGAGAUGUUGGGUUAAGUCCCGCAACGAGCGCAACCCUUAUUGUUAGUUGCUACGCAAGAGCACUCUAGCGAGACUGCCGUUGCCAAAACGGAGGAAGGUGGGGACGACGUCAAAUCAUCAUGCCCCUUAUGUCCUGGGCCACACACGUACUACGAUGGUGGUCAACAGAGGGAAGCAAAGCCGCGAGGUGGAGCAAAUCCCUAAAAGCCAUCCCAGUUCGGAUCGCAGGCUGCAACCCGCCUGCGUGAAGUUGGAAUCGCUAGUAAUCGCGGAUCAGCAUGCCGCGGUGAAUACGAUCCCGGGCCUUGUACACACCGCCCGUCA
Molecule: ribosomal RNA, 1388 nt
Filed under: uncultured bacterium
Lineage: Bacteria
Description: 16S ribosomal RNA
Rfam family: Bacterial small subunit ribosomal RNA
Source: RNAcentral